Molecule: long non-coding RNA, 7408 nt
Filed under: Arabidopsis lyrata
Lineage: Eukaryota; Viridiplantae; Streptophyta; Magnoliopsida; Brassicales; Brassicaceae
Description: long non-coding RNA (ALYR_LNC001664)
Source: RNAcentral
AGAACGCUCAAUCACGCCUUCAACCAGAGCACUCGAUCGCAACCUCGGAGCCCCGACAGAGCAAAAUCACUCGAUCACAACCCCAUAAACUGUCAUGAAGGCCAAAACCACUCGAUCACAACCCCAGAAACUGUCAUGAAGGCCAAAACCACUCGAUCACAACCCCGAAGCGAUUUUAAAAGAGACCACUCGAUCGCAAGAUCGAGCAGAAGCUGUCAUGGAGGACAUACCACUCAAUCACAACCCCGGAGAUGCCAGCAGCUUAGUUUCACUCGAUCGCAGGGUCUCGAUGUGAAGACCACUAUCUCGAACUUUCCUUAUUUAACUUUUCUCGCUUAUAUAAACAGCCUCUAAGGGUUUUCCCUAGGGCAUCCAGUCUUUAAUUUUCAGUUUUUACCUAGACUUGUUUUCGUAGCCGCAGUGUGUUCUUCCUGCGACUUUGUAUUUGCUAUCAAGUAUUUUAUAAUUCAGUUUUCGUUUCAGUCUUUAUCAUUUCCUGUUAUCAUGUUUUCAAUCGUUUCAUUGCUAUUGUUUUUUAUUAUGUCUGAGUAGUGAAUUGUAUUUAUGAGGAUGGGAUAGAGUAGUCGUGGUUGCCUUAGUCGCUUUAGAUGGUUGAGUUUAGAUUGUUUGAAUCCCUUCUGGAUUAGUUGUGCUUAUCGCUUGUUCCUUUCUGAUCAACUGGAAAAUGAAUCCAGACAUUCCCGCACCCAAAAGUUGUUUGAUGGAAUGUCUGAUCCACUAAUUCCAGAGAUACUCGUCUCUAUCCCAAGGUAUUGGUCGUUUAGAGCGGGUAUUGGCUUUAACAAGUUGGUUCGAUAUUGCCUGCUUAGUUAGAGAUCGCUAAUGGUGAUUAGGUAUGUGUCUAGCUAUGCUUGAGAAUUGCUAUCACGGUGGUGAAUUGAUUCGCUUUUGAACUUGUUGUCAAGGGAUAGCUUAUGUGAAGUUUUGUCAACCGUCUAAAUAGAUUAAGGAGACAACGCUAUUCGAUUACCCUGUCCUUAGGAAUCUCUCAUCCAUUUGAUUGCCUGUUAUCUUACCUGCUUUGUUAUUCUACUACCUGCUAUUGCUAGUUUGCAUUCCAGUUUCAUUUCAUUUCUGUUAUUUCACAUUAGGACUGUUAGAAAAUCACAACUCUCUGCUUGGCUUGACUUAGUGAAUUCUCAUUAUAUCUCAUCUGUUUGCAUCACACUAGAUUGGAUUGACACCCUAAAAUACUACAACGACACAAUAGUGUUUUAAGAUUAAUUGAUCUUAAAAACCUAUUAUCAAUUUGGCGUCGUUGCCAGUUUAGUGUUUGUUUGCUAUAUUUGAGAUCAUUAGAAUCGUUAAGAUCAAGUUCGUUUUUGUUACACAAGAUACUGACAUUGUGUUUUUCUGUCUGUGUUUCAGGUACUCACAGCAACCAGCUUUACAGACUCAUCUCUGAUUGGUCUGCUAAAGCCUUGCUGUUACCUGUUAUAUGCAUACACGGUCAAAAGGAAAUCAGAAUCUCCUUUUCAACGAUAACAUCGACCGUAUCGCUCGCCAACUAAGAGAACAGACAGCAACAGACACAAUGGCUGACAUUGUAGAUGAUCAAGACCAACCCAACAACAUUGGUGCUGGUGACUUCCCACACAAUCACAACCAGCGUCAUGGAAUUGUUCCUCCACCAGUCCAGAACAACAACUUUGAGAUCAAGAGCGGUCUCAUUGCAAUGGUUCAGGGGAAAAAGUUUCACGGCUUGCCAAUGGAGGAUCCGCUUGAUCAUCUUGACGAAUUUGAAAGACUCUAUGGCUUUACUAAAAUCAAUGGAGUAAGUGAAGAUGGUUUCAAGCUUCGCUUGUUUCCAUUCUCACUUGGAGACAAAGCCCAUCUGUGGGAAAAAACGCUACCCCAGGGUUCAAUCAUGACCUGGGAUGACUGCAAAAAAACCUUCUUGGUUAAAUUCUUCUCCAACUCCAGAACAGCAAGACUCCGGAAUGAGAUAUCCGGAUUCACUCAGAAGAAUGCUGAAACCUUCUGUGAAGCAUGGGAGCGCUUCAAAGGUUAUCAGACCAAAUGCCCUCAUCACGGCUUUGGAAAAGCUUCUCUUCUCAGCACACUCUACAGAGGCGUCCUUCCCAAGAUAAGGAUGCUGCUUGAUACCGCUUCCAAUGGGAACUUCCUCAAUAAAGACGUUGGUGAAGGAUGGGAGCUCGUUGAAAACUUAGCUCAGUCGGAUGGCAAUUACAACGAGGAUUAUGACAGAAGCAUCCGCACCAGUCCUGACACUGAUUACAAGCACCGCAAAGAGAUGAAAGCUCUCAAUGACAAACUAGACAAGCUCCUGCAAGUGCAACAGUCGCAUGUUCACUUCGUCUCUGAAGAUGAACAAUUCCAAGUCCAAGAGGGGGAGAAUGAUCAGUCUGCUGAAAUCAGUUACAUUCAGAACCAAGGUGGCUACAACAAGGGUUACAACAACUACAGACCAAACCCGAAUUUGUCAUACAGAAGCACCAACGUUGCCAACCCUCAAGACCAAGUUUAUCCAUCUCAGCAGCAGCAACAACAACAACCCAAACCGUUUGUUCCAUACAACCAAGGUCAAGGGGUUGUUCCAAAGCAGCAGUUCCAGGGAGAAUAUCAACAACAGCAACCACCACCUGGUUUCCCAUCACAGCAACAUCAAGCACCUUCGCCUCCGGAUUCUAAUAUGAAGAAGAUGGUCCAACAGAUACUUCAAGGGCAAGCCAUAGGAGCGAUGGAAAUUGCAAAAAAGUUGGUUGAAUUAAACAACAAAGUCGACUGCAAUUUCAAUGACCUUAACAGCAAGUUUGAAUCAUUGAGUACUAGACUGCGCUAUCUGGAAGGCAAUCCUAUUUUAACAUCCAUUUCCAACAACCCAGGCCAACUUCCAGGGAAAGCAAUCCAGAACCCAAAGGAGUAUGCCACUGCUCACGCCAUCACUAUCUGCCAUGAUCGAGAGCUGCCAACUCGACAUGCCCCUAACUCAAACACUGAGGGCAGUGUGAUUCAAGAGGGGGAGGACUUCUAUCAAAAUGACGUUUUGGCUGACCUAACACUAGUAGAGCCCAUACUUGACAAUCAGUCUACUCGACCACAAGCUUCACCAGUCGCCCCCACUGUUGAAAAACCAGCUGCUGCAAAGACCAAGGAUACAGUCUUUGUGCCACCACCUUACAAACCCCGGCUUCCAUUCCCUGGUCGAUUCAAGAAAGUGCUUAUUAAGAAGUAUCAAGCCCUCCUGGAAAAACAACUGAAAGACCUUGAAGUAACGAUGCCUCUAGUGGUCUGUCUUGCACUAAUACUAGAUUCACACAAGUAUGUGAAGGAUAUGCUCACGAAGAGAAUUAGAGAAGUUCAAGGAAAUGUGGUGUUGAGUCAUGAGUGCAGCGCAAUCAUCCAAACGAAGAUUAUUACCAAGAAAUUGGGAGAUCCUGGAUCGUUUACCUUACCUUGCUCUCUAGGUCCUUUAGCCUUCAGUAACUGCCUCUGUGAUCUAGGUGCUUAUAUAAGUCUCAUGCCUCUCUCUGUGGCCAAGAGACUAGGUUUCAGCAAGUAUAAAUCUUGCAAUAUCUCCUUGAUUCUGGCUGAUAGGUCUGUUAGACUACCUCAUGGGUUAUUAGAAGAUUUGUCUAUUAAGAUUGGAAAUGUUGAAGUCCCCACAGACUUCAUAGUGCUAGAAAUAGAUGAAGAACCAAAAGAUCCUUUAAUCUUAGGAAGGCCCUUCUUAGCUACAGCGGGAGCAGUCAUAGAUGUUAAGAAAGGAAAGAUUGAUCUUAAUCUUGGAAAAGAUUUCAAGAUGAAGUUUGACAUCAAUGAUACUAUGAAAAAACCAACAAUAGAAGGACAUACCUUCUUGGUUUAGGAAAUGGAUAGGCUAGCUGAUGAACUGCUAGAAGAGCUUGCCGAUGAAGAUCACCUUCAAACUGCUUUAACCAAGAGUGGUGAAGCUGGGUAUCUCCCUAGUGAGACCUUGAGCUCUGAGAACUUAUUAGACUCACGCAAGGCAACAAUUGGGUCAAAUGUCAUUAAGGCUUUGAUUGCGUCAGAAAUAAAUGGUAUGGCAGCAAAUGAGGCAAGCUCGACCCAUACUCGACCUGCUGACUUGACCAUCUACUCGAGUAAUCCUUUAGCUCGCCCACAGAGCUCAUGCUCGACAAAACUGCUUGAUCAGAAGCUAGAGUCUCACAAUUUUGCAUCAGACGAUUGGUUAAAAUUCAUGGAGAGGUCUAAAUGGCAGGACAAAGCCAUAAGGGAGUUAACAGACACUGUGAUAAAUCUAAAGGAUCAAAUCAAAGAGCUCCAUGGGAAAGCCAACCAAGGACCACUCAAUAUCAAGGACGUACCAAAUGAUGAAGCCAUUGCUCAGGUUAGCAAAGAAAAAAAUGAAUUCACACUAGAAUGGUCUAUAAAAGAAGACUAUCCGGCUGAUCAGAAAGAAGCUUACUUUGAAGAAACGGCCAUUGAGUACUCAGAUGCAGACUUGUCAAGAGAGCAUGCUGAGUUUGAUGAUCUAUCUACUAAGGAAGAAGAUGAGACCUCAUUUCAUCUCCAAAAACCUCCCUAAGCCUAAUAAGUGUGAGGAGUCAAGCUAGAGACUUAAAACAAGCUCACUUGGGAGGGAGUCCCAUGACUAUCUUUGUAUAUAAAUUUUACUUUCUUGUUAUUUUUUUAUUUGUUUUGGUUGUGUCUUUGGUUGUCAGGAAAUGAAUAGCAUCUGGAGUAAUAAGCAAGUGUGCGAUCGAGUGUUGAAAUAUAUUUUUUCUAAUUUUUACUAAACCACUCGAUCGCAACAUAGGAGUGGAGAGCUCGGGCAUGCGAUCUAGCUGUUUUGGAUCACAUCCUUUUCAACAAUAUUUUCAAACCACUCGAUCGCAACACGGACUUGGUGGGAUCGAGUGGUCAUUUAUUUGGCUAACCCAUUUCACUCGAUCGCAAGGGUAGGUAAAGUGUCUGACAAGAACUUCAAUGACAACCCAUGCUUCAAUAAGACAACAUGUCUUCACUCACUUCACCGAUGCUCCACAACCUGCUGGGGUUGCAAUCAAGCACGAUUAUGAGGAGAUGGCAGAACCACACCUAGGACCUGUCAUCUACUGAGGUAAUUCUACUAAGGUAACACACCAAAACACAAUUGUAAAUACCGUUUUUGUUUUUGUUUCUUGUGUUUAUCUUGAAUUCUUUCACAAAUUUUUAUUACACAAGGGACUGUGUAAUUUAAGUUUGGGGGAGGGUUCAAGACGUAUUUGACUUGUUUUUUUUGUGAAUAUCAUUUGAGUUUGCAUCUCAUCUAAGACAUAGAAAAAAACAAAAAAAAUUUGAAAAUUUAUGAAAAUGUAUUCCACAAAAACAGAGUGUUCAUGUAGCUGCAUUGCAUUUAGGAUCGAGUCUAGAGUGUUUCAUUUAGGAUUGUUGCAUAUGCAUAGGGGAUAAUAAGGAAAUAACCUUGUAAGCAUGUUGAUUUACUGAAUAAACUCAAUGCCCUCGUUACUAGUUGUCUGAUGCAUUUGAAUGACUUUGAAGUAAAACCGCACCAUGUUCUAUAGAAACCACUCGAUCGCAUGUCAUGACACCUUUCCCUGUUAAUUUGAACUUGAAUCUAACUUAUAAUUAUCAUGUUUGCAUCGGUUUUGAACUCGUGGAUAGAAUACAUACUUGGAUUUUCUUUCACUUAUUCACCACUCUUGUUAAUCCAAGUAGCUGCUUCUGUUAUUGGAGUAGUUUCCCCACCCUUAACCAACCCUUCUUUCAAGCCAUGUUAUUUGUGAGAGCAUGUGAGGCCUAUUUCAGGAUUGAGCUUGGUAGAACGUGUUAGGUUUGAGCCGACAAGAGUAAUAUCUCAUGUAGUUCCAAUCCGCGUUUUUGGACUUGGUAGGACUAGGUGGAAACUUAUUUGGGGAUUGAGAUUGAGUGUGAAAAGAAAAAGAAAAAAAAAAAUGGGUUAGAGUAUUUAGGAGAAGGAAGCUGAAAAUCAUAUUCAGGUCUAGUGAAUGUUUGGGAAGCAUAGAAUUGUUAAGUUAUGCUCUAAAAAAAAGAUGGCAACAAAAACAGAAAAAAAAAUUAUAAAAGCCAUAAGAGUUUAAGAAAAACCUGAUUCACUAGACUAGACUCAUAGAGUAUAAGAAAAGCUUCUCCUUAAGAACAAGAGCCAAAGAAAAGAAAGGAUAAAUUGAUCCAAGAAAGAAUAGAAAUAUGCCUUUAGUGCAAAAGGGUAGACUUAGGAUCAUCAAUGGGUUUAGAAAUAGGACCAUCUACUUGUUAUUCACGGUUUAUGUCAUUGGGUAGAUGGGGUACUAUUCUUGUAUGUAUAGGUUGGCACUUACCUUUAGCAUUCUCCUAAAGCUCAGUCCAUUUUCAUUGAGAGUCCCCUGUUAUUAAAAUCUGAACCACCUUAAAGGAACAUUCUUUAUCUCAUAGCCCGUCCUUAGCCAAACGAGUUCACUAACGAUGCACAACUUGAUUCAUGUUUUUGACCUUAAUGAAUGUUAAAGGGAUUGGUUGAUUUUGACGCAUUAUGCAAUCGAGUGUGGGUUUGGAUCAUAACAGAGCAUGGCUAAAGUUUUUAAGUAGAAGUCAUUCACCUCACAUCUUAGAACUAAUAACUUGGACAUUGAGCUUCAUUACUUCAUCACAUGUUUUGGUUCUGAGUCCCCAACUUCAAACCUCUCCUCCUGCUUAUGUUUUCUUGUUUACUUGAGGGCAAGCAAAGACUAAGUUUGGGGGAGUUGAUAUGUCUAUAAUUUGCAUGAUUUAAGCAUUCAUUCUUCAUCACUUUGUCAUUGUUUCAAUCACAUUUCAUCUCAUCAGUAGGCGUUUUAGUGUGUUUUGCAUACUUAGGACGUUUUUGCAUUAGGAUUGCAUGUGCAUUGCAUAUUUGGUUGUUUUCAGGUACUUUGGAUGCUUUUGGAGUUCAAACAGAGGAGAAACAGAACAUAAAUUCAGAACGCUCAAUCACGCUUUCAGCCAGAGCACUCGAUCGCAACCUCGGAGCCCUGACAGAGCAAAAUCACUCGAUCACAACCCCAAAAACUGUCAUGAAGGCCAAAACCACUCGAUCACAACCCCAGAAACUGUCAUGAAGACCAAAACCACUCGAUCACAACCCCGGAGCGAUUUCAAAAGAGACCACUCGAUCGCAAGAUCGAGCAGAAGCUGUCAUGGAGGACAUACCACUCGAUCACAAACCCGGAGAUGCCAGCAGCUUAGUUUCACUCGAUUGCAGGGUCUCGAUGUGAAGACCACUAUCUCGAACUUUCCUUAUUUAACUUUUCUUGCUUAUAUAAACAGCCUCUAAGGGUUUUCCCUAGGGCAUCCAGUCUUUAAUUUUCAGUUUUUACCUAGACUUGUUUUCGUAGCCGCAGUGUGUUCUUCCUGCGACUUUGUAUUUGCUUUCAAGUAUUUUAUAAUUCAGUUUUCGUUUCAG